UGUCAAGCACGUGAAAUGGCGUUCAACCUCGGAGCCUUUGUCAGCGAUUGAAUUAAGGCACGCGGUGAAUGCCAAAUGCGAUGCUCC
RNAcentral lists this microRNA precursor (87 nucleotides) under Echinococcus granulosus. Its description in RNAcentral is "microRNA egr-mir-124a precursor". Its record names the gene egr-mir-124a. Lineage: Eukaryota; Metazoa; Platyhelminthes; Cestoda; Cyclophyllidea; Taeniidae. RNAcentral also lists the same sequence under 1 other name. The record is from miRBase by way of RNAcentral.